RNAcentral lists this ribosomal RNA (194 nucleotides) under uncultured bacterium. Its description in RNAcentral is "partial 16S ribosomal RNA". It matches the Rfam family "Bacterial small subunit ribosomal RNA", at positions 336 to 526 of the family's 1533-position model. The record is from RNAcentral.
CUCCUACGGGAGGCAGCAGUAAGGAAUAUUGGUCAAUGGGCGCAAGCCUGAACCAGCCAUGCCGCGUGCAGGAAGACGGCCCUACGGGUUGUAAACUGCUUUUGCAGGGGAAUAAACCCCCAUUCGUGAAUGGGGUUGAACGUACUCUGACGAAUAAGGAUCGGCUAACUCCGUGCCAGCAGCCGCGGUAAUUC